This 433-nucleotide ribosomal RNA is filed under the name uncultured bacterium. RNAcentral's name for it is "partial 16S ribosomal RNA". It matches the Rfam family "Bacterial small subunit ribosomal RNA", at positions 29 to 507 of the family's 1533-position model. The record is from RNAcentral.
AGCGAACGCUGGCGGCAGGCCUAACACAUGCAAGUCGAACGGAUCCUUCGGGAUUAGUGGCGGACGGGUGCGUAACACGUGGGAACGUGCCCUUUGGUUCGGAACAACUCAGGGAAACUUGAGCUAAUACCGGAUGUGCUCUUCGGGGGAAAGAUUUAUCGCCAUUGGAGCGGCCCGCGUCUGAUUAGCUAGUUGGUGAGGUAACGGCCCACCAAGGCGACGAUCAGUAGCUGGUCUGAGAGGAUGAUCAGCCACACUGGGACUGAGACACGGCCCAGACUCCUACGGGAGGCAGCAGUGGGGAAUCUUGCGCAAUGGGCGAAAGCCUGACGCAGCCAUGCCGCGUGAAUGAUGAAGGUCUUAGGAUUGUAAAAUUCUUUCAGCGGGGACGAUAAUGACGGUACCCGCAGAAGAAGCUCCGGCUAACUUCGUG